This 783-nucleotide ribosomal RNA is filed under the name Triticum aestivum (bread wheat). RNAcentral describes it as "partial small subunit ribosomal RNA". Lineage: Eukaryota; Viridiplantae; Streptophyta; Magnoliopsida; Poales; Poaceae. The record is from RNAcentral.
AUGUGGUGGGCCUUGGAGAAACACAAAGUCCCAGCAAAAUACAUUACCCUCAUCAAGGACAUGUACAAUAAUGUUGUGACAAGUGUUCGAACAAGUGAUGUCGACACCGAUGACUUCCCGAUUAAGAUAGGACUGCAUCAGGGGUCAGCUUUGAGCCCUUAUCUUUUUGCAUUGGUGAUGGAUGAGGUCACAGGGGGUAUACAAGGAGAUAUCCCAUGGUGUAUGCUCUUUGCGGAUGAUGUGGUGCUAGUUGACGAUAGUCGGACGGGGGUAAAUAGGAAGUUAGAGUUAUGGAGACAAACCUUGGAAUCGAAAGGGUUUAGGCUUAGUAGAACUAAAACCGAGUACAUGAUGUGCGGUUUCAGUACUACUAGCUGUGAGGAGGAUGAGGUUAGCCUUGAUGGCCAGGUGGUACCUCGGAAGGACACCUUUCGGUAUUUGGGGUCAAUGUUGCAGGAGGAUGGGGGUAUUGAUGAAGAUGUGAACCAUCGAAUCAAAGCCGGAUGGAUGAAGUGGCGCCAAGCUUCUGGCAUUCUCUGUGACAAGAGAGUGCCACAAAAGCUAAAAGGCAAGUUCUACAGGACGGCGGUUCGACCCGCAAUGUUGUAUGGCGCGGAGUGUUGGCCGACUAAAAGGCGACAUGUUCAACAGUUAGGUGUGGCGGAGAUGCGUAUGUUGAGAUGGAUGUGUGGCCACACGAGGAAGGAUCGAGUCCGGAAUGAUGAUAUACGAGAUAGAGUUGGGGUAGCACCAAUUGAGGAGAAGCUUGUCCACAUCGUUUGA